AAUAUUUAACCCUAAAUUCGCAAGCCUCUCAGCUGAUUCGCAAGCCUUUGGAUAUUUAACUCUACACACGCGAAUUGUUUUAAUCUAGGGGAUUUCUAAGAUUUUAUACCUUUUUCACUUUCAAAUAUUCCUUAUUACUAUUUAGCACUUGGAAAAUGACCGAAGCCCAUCGUAACUAGGCCGCGUUCCUCCGUGGCGAGUCACAGACGAGCGACACCGCUCGCGACCGUCGCCGCCAGUUGCCGGUGGCCGCCCACUCGCCCACUGCUCGCCGCAUUCCCUGCCGCCCGCCCAGUGCCUCUCUUCUCGGCCAGCCUCCCUCCGCUCGCUCAGGCCCCUUCCGCCCGUCGUCGUUCCCUGACUCGACGGCCUAGGGUCUGGGGCGGCCGUGCUCCUUGCCGCCGCCGCCCCUGCUGGCCUGCCUGACGCCAGCAGGCCGUCCUCCCCCUUCGUCUUGAUGGAUUCUCCUGAGCUCAAUUCGGAUUGAAACAAUUCGCAUGCGCAAGGUUAAAUAUUGAAAGGCUUGCGAAUUGGAUGUCAAAUACUCAGAGGCUUGCGAAUUCAGGGUUAAAUAUUGAAAUUUCUCGUCCACCACCGCCUCCCCUACCACAGCAACCCCACCUCCGGGUCCGGCCCGCGGCAGCGGACCGUGUCCCGCCUCCGCGUCGUCUACCUGUCUCGCUGCCUCCCUACGCAGGCCUUCGCUGGCUACGAGCAGCCACUGGGAUUUGUUAGGUCCGCCCCUGCCAGUCUGCAGAUCAGAGGCCAAAAGAUUGGGAAUCCAGAGAUGCAUUUUUCUAGAGAUGAGCUGAUCGGGUCGACGUUCAUUGCUUUUGGGAUCACAUUGUUCGCGUGUUUCUUCUACGUUGCUAUCGCGUCCAAGCUGCUUCCACCAUAUGAAAAUCAAUUCCUGGCUGCCAUCCAAGAUGAUUGGUAUUACUGUCUACUUGUGCCUUUGACGCUUCCUGUAAUAAUUGUGGCUGUCUAUCUGCACUGGCUUAGCAUGAAGAUGUUCAAGCAUGCAUGAAGAAGUCAUGCAGCUUUCUUCUAAUUUCAGAAUCUCAGAAUCCUGGUGAAAAUCGAGAAUGCGGACAGAUACGAGGAUACUCUGGAGCAUUGUGGUGCUGAACUGCUGAUGCUAAAAAACUGGAUGCUUGUAUGCUCCAAAGCCAAGAUGGAGAUACCAAUUCAGUAUACUGUUACUUUGGAACAAUCUUUUCUGGGCAUUUGUAACGAGCCGCUGAAUUGCAAGAACACCGCACCUGGUCGAUUAUUGGCAUGCCAAAGAAGGCACCUGCGGAGGCGCUAUACAGUUUGGUUACCUGGUUGAGUGGUUUAUGUUUCUAGUGUAGGUGGUGAAUGUAAUAUCUUUUCAUGAUUGGAACAUCUUGCCCGUUAUUUGUGGUGGAAGGUUUCAGGGUUGUCUCCUUUGCUUUCAUCGUGCUUGAUGCUGAGCUCAUGUCUGACGAGAAAUGUAGGGAUUGGUUCGGUCAGUAUGUAUUUUUCUUUGGAAAGGAACAAUAUAUAUUUUUCUGCUAUGGUGAUGGUUGAAUUUAUAUUAGAGGGAGCUACAGAUUCAGUCGGUAUA
Sorghum bicolor (sorghum) is the source of this 1588-nucleotide long non-coding RNA. RefSeq lists it as uncharacterized. Lineage: Eukaryota; Viridiplantae; Streptophyta; Magnoliopsida; Poales; Poaceae. The record is from RefSeq and is a predicted model, not a curated record. The transcript has 5 exons.